ACGUUAGCGGCGGACGGGUGAGUAACACGUGGGUAACCUACCUAUAAGACUGGGAUAACUUCGGGAAACCGGAGCUAAUACCGGAUAAUAUUUCAACCGCAUGGUUCGAUAGUGAAAGAUGGUUUUGCUAUCACUUAUAGAUGGACCCGCGCCGUAUUAGCUAGUUGGUAAGGUAACGGCUUACCAAGGCGACGAUACGUAGCCGACCUGAGAGGGUGAUCGGCCACACUGGAACUGAGACACGGUCCAGACUCCUACGGGAGGCAGCAGGC
RNAcentral lists this ribosomal RNA (272 nucleotides) under uncultured Staphylococcus sp. RNAcentral's name for it is "partial 16S ribosomal RNA". It matches the Rfam family "Bacterial small subunit ribosomal RNA", at positions 89 to 354 of the family's 1533-position model. Lineage: Bacteria; Bacillati; Bacillota; Bacilli; Caryophanales; Staphylococcaceae. The record is from RNAcentral.